Molecule: ribosomal RNA, 253 nt
Filed under: uncultured bacterium
Lineage: Bacteria
Description: partial 16S ribosomal RNA
Rfam family: Bacterial small subunit ribosomal RNA
Source: RNAcentral
UACGUAGGUGGCAAGCGUUAUCCGGAAUUAUUGGGCGUAAAGAGCGCGCAGGUGGUUAAUUAAGUCUGAUGUGAAAGCCCACGGCUUAACCGUGGAGGGUCAUUGGAAACUGGUUGACUUGAGUGCAGAAGAGGGAAGUGGAAUUCCAUGUGUAGCGGUGAAAUGCGUAGGGAUAUGAAGGAACACCAGUGGCGAAGGCGGCUUCCUGGUCUGCAACUGACACUGAGGCGCGAAAGCGUGGGGAGCAAACAGG